CCUACGGGAGGCAGCAGUAGGGAAUAUUGGACAAUGGGCGGAAGCCUGAUCCAGCAACGCCGCGUGUGUGAAGAAGGCCUUCGGGUUGUAAAGCACUUUUCUGCGUGAAGAGAAAGGACGGUAGCGCAGGAAUAAGCAUCGGCUAACUACGUGCCAGCAGCCGCGGUAAAACGUAGGAUGCGAGCGUUAUCCGGAUUUACUGGGCGUAAAGCGCGUGUAGGCGGUGAUACAAGUCAGAUAUGAAAGCUCCUGGCUCAACUGGGAGAGGCUGUCUGAUACUGUAUGGCUAGAGUUCAAGAAAGGCAAGUGGAAUUCCGGGUGUAGUGGUGAAAUGCGUAGAGAUCCGGAGGAACACCAGAGGCGAAAGCGGCUUGCUGGCUUGACACUGACGCUGAGACGCGACAGCGUGGGUAGCGAACGGGAUUAGAAACCCCGGUAGUCCACGCCGUAAACGAUGUCAACUAGGCGUAGGCGGUCUUGACCCCGUCUGUGCCGAAGCCAACGCGAUAAGUGACCGCCUGGGAAGUACGGCCGCAAGGUUAAACUCAAAGGAAUUGACGG
This 561-nucleotide ribosomal RNA is filed under the name uncultured bacterium. RNAcentral's name for it is "bacterial SSU rRNA". It matches the Rfam family "Bacterial small subunit ribosomal RNA", at positions 338 to 916 of the family's 1533-position model. The record is from RNAcentral.